RNAcentral lists this ribosomal RNA (253 nucleotides) under uncultured bacterium. Its description in RNAcentral is "partial 16S ribosomal RNA". It matches the Rfam family "Bacterial small subunit ribosomal RNA", at positions 524 to 776 of the family's 1533-position model. The record is from RNAcentral.
UACGAAGGGAGCUAGCGUUGUUCGGAAUCACUGGGCGUAAAGCGCACGUAGGCGGAUGUGUCAGUCAGGGGUGAAAUCCCGGGGCUCAACCUCGGAACUGCCUUUGAUACAGCACGUCUUGAGUCCGAUAGAGGUGGGUGGAAUUCCGCGUGUAGCAGUGAAAUGCGUAGAGAUGCGGAGGAACACCGAUGGCGAAGGCAGCCUCCUGGGAUAACACUGACGCUCAUGCACGAAAGCGUGGGGAGCAAACAGG